AACACUGUUAACCUGCGGUACCUGCGGAAGGAUCAUUAUUGAAUAAACUUGGUCAAGCUGUUGCUGGUCCUUCGGGACAUGUGCACGCUUGCCACCAAUUUUAACCACCUGUGCACUUUUUGUAGACUUGGAAACGUUUCUCGAGGCAACUCGGAUUGAGAACUGCUGGCGCAAGUCGGCUUUCCUUAUGUUUUCUCAGUCUAUGUUUUCAUAUACACCUAAUGUAUGUAUCAGAAUGUA
Molecule: unclassified non-coding RNA, 240 nt
Filed under: soil metagenome
Description: partial contains 5.8S ribosomal RNA, internal transcribed spacer 2, and large subunit ribosomal RNA
Source: RNAcentral